GAAAGGAGCUUGCUCCUGGAUUCAGCGGCGGACGGGUGAGUAAUGCCUAGGAAUCUGCCUGGUAGUGGGGGACAACGUUUCGAAAGGAACGCUAAUACCGCAUACGUCCUACGGGAGAAAGCAGGGGACCUUCGGGCCUUGCGCUAUCAGAUGAGCCUAGGUCGGAUUAGCUAGUUGGUGAGGUAAUGGCUCACCAAGGCGACGAUCCGUAACUGGUCUGAGAGGAUGAUCAGUCACACUGGAACUGAGACACGGUCCAGACUCCUACGGGAGGCAGCAGUGGGGAAUAUUGGACAAUGGGCGAAAGCCUGAUCCAGCCAUGCCGCGUGUGUGAAGAAGGUCUUCGGAUUGUAAAGCACUUUAAGUUGGGAGGAAGGGUUGUAGAUUAAUACUCUGCAAUUUUGACGUUACCGACAGAAUAAGCACCGGCUAACUCUGUGCCAGCAGCCGCGGUAAUACAGAGGGUGCAAGCGUUAAUCGGAAUUACUGGGCGUAAAGCGCGCGUAGGUGGUUUGUUAAGUUGGAUGUGAAAUCCCCGGGCUCAACCUGGGAACUGCAUCCAAAACUGGCAAGCUAGAGUAUGGUAGAGGGUGGUGGAAUUUCCUGUGUAGCGGUGAAAUGCGUAGAUAUAGGAAGGAACACCAGUGGCGAAGGCGACCACCUGGACUGAUACUGACACUGAGGUGCGAAAGCGUGGGGGAGCAAACAGGAUUAGAUACCCUGGGUAGUCCACGCCGUAAACGAUGUCAACUAGCCGUUGGGAGCCUUGAGCUCUUAGUGGCGCAGCUAACGCAUUAAGUUGACCGCCUGGGGAGUACGGCCGCAAGGUUAAAACUCAAAUGAAUUGACGGGGGCCGCACAAGCGGUGGA
This 870-nucleotide ribosomal RNA is filed under the name Pseudomonas koreensis. RNAcentral describes it as "bacterial SSU rRNA". It matches the Rfam family "Bacterial small subunit ribosomal RNA", at positions 71 to 936 of the family's 1533-position model. The record is from RNAcentral. Lineage: Bacteria; Pseudomonadati; Pseudomonadota; Gammaproteobacteria; Pseudomonadales; Pseudomonadaceae.